CAGCCGCCGCGGUAAUACAGAGGGUGCGAGCGUUAAUCGGAUUUACUGGGCGUAAAGCGUGUGUAGGUUGUUGUUCAAGUCAGUUGUGAAAUCCCUGGGCUCAACCUGGGAACUGCUUCUGAGACUGAACGACUAGAGUACGGUAGAGGGUGGUGGAAUUUCCGGUGUAGCGGUGAAAUGCGUAGAUAUCGGAAGGAACAUCAAUGGCGAAGGCAGCCACCUGGGCCUGUACUGACACUGAGACACGAAAGCGUGGGGAUCAAACAGGAUUAGAUACCCCUGUAGUCCCUGUCUCUUAUAC
This 301-nucleotide ribosomal RNA is filed under the name uncultured bacterium. RNAcentral describes it as "partial 16S ribosomal RNA". It matches the Rfam family "Bacterial small subunit ribosomal RNA", at positions 509 to 807 of the family's 1533-position model. The record is from RNAcentral.